GUUUUGGUCCUAAACUUGCCCUUGUUUUUUAUCAAAAUUACACAUGCAAGCUUCAACAAGCCAGUGAGAAUGCCCACAACCCCCCAAACAGCCUAAAGGAGCAGGCAUCAGGAACACCAAAAAUUUUAGCCUACAACGCCUUGCUAUGCCACACCCACACGGGUACUCAGCAGUGAUUAACAUUAAGACAUGAGCGAAAGCUCGACUUAGUUAUGAUUAAACCUGGUCGGUAAAUUUCGUGCCAGCCACCGCGGUUAUACGAAAGACCAAAAACAAGGGCCCCCGGCGUAAAGAGUGACCAAGAGAACAUCUAACAAUUUAAAGGAAAACCACCUCAAAGUUGUAAAACACCUUGAUAAUGGGACCCCCAACAAUAAAAUGCCUUUAAACACCUAAGACCCCUCACCUUCACUAAAGCUAAGAAACAAACUAGGAUUAGAUACCCUACUAUGCUUAGCCCUUAACACAGACAACAGACAUACAAUGCUGUCCGCCAGAGAACUACGAGUGAAAAACUUAAAACUCCAAGGACUUGGCGGUGCUCCAUACCGUCCUAGAGGAGCCUGUCCUAUAAUCGAUACCCCACGUUAUACCCGACCAUUUUUUGCAACCUCAGCCUAUAUACCGCC
Molecule: ribosomal RNA, 629 nt
Filed under: Eutropis multifasciata (many-lined sun skink)
Lineage: Eukaryota; Metazoa; Chordata; Lepidosauria; Squamata; Scincidae
Description: partial 12S ribosomal RNA
Rfam family: Bacterial small subunit ribosomal RNA
Source: RNAcentral